GGUAGAGUGACACUGGUUUUGAUGUCUAGCCUGGGGGAAAAACAAUAACAUAAAAUCAUGUUUGUUGAAGGAAAAAAAAAUAAAACAAAACAAAUCAAUAGAAUUUAAUGUUUAUUUUUUUGUUUUUGUUGAACAAAAUACAAAUUGAAAACGCCCAUGUUAAAGAAUAUGACUUUACAGAGCCAGCCGAGAAACCCGACGGUCGACACAUAGCCUAUCCACGAACUGCAUCUAGGCCCUCCAUUGAGCUAGGCUCAAAUUUUUUUUUUCCAUGUUACGGCGCAGGAGGCGGCCCCAUAGGGAAAGUUAUACGUUCGGCAUGGGUUAGGGCUACGCUGUCACGAGAAGAAAAUCUUACUUACAUUGCCAAAAGAAAAAGUAAUUGCUGCUGGGCUAGCGUCCUAUGUAGGAAUAUUUUGAAAGCCUCAGCUUCUCUUCACCUGCUAAACAUUCGGAACAUUCCCGAACUGUCUGUGUUUAACAUAAAGCACAACUGUGGUACCUCACAUAGAGGAGAGAUAAACACAGACAGUGAGGUACCACAGUUGUUAAUAAACGGUACGGUUUUACGAAUGAAAUAAUAAUGUAAAUUGA
This is a long non-coding RNA of Anneissia japonica, 594 nucleotides long. RefSeq lists it as uncharacterized. The transcript is spliced from 2 exons. The record is from RefSeq and is a predicted model, not a curated record. Lineage: Eukaryota; Metazoa; Echinodermata; Crinoidea; Comatulida; Comatulidae.